RNAcentral lists this unclassified non-coding RNA (303 nucleotides) under plant metagenome. Its description in RNAcentral is "partial contains 5.8S ribosomal RNA, internal transcribed spacer 2, and large subunit ribosomal RNA". The stretch from base 1 to 104 matches the Rfam family "5.8S ribosomal RNA", at positions 50 to 154 of the family's 154-position model. The record is from RNAcentral.
GAAAUGCGAUAAGUAGUGUGAAUUGCAGAAUUCAGUGAAUCAUCGAAUCUUUGAACGCACAUUGCGCCCCUUGGUAUUCCGGGGGCAUGCCUGUUCGAGCGUCAUCUACACCCUCAAGCUCUGCUUGGUGUUGGGCGUCUGUCCCGCCUCGGCGCGCGGACUCGCCCCAAAUCCAUUGGCAGCGGUCCUUGCCUCCUCUCGCGCAGCACAUUGCGCUUCUCGAGGGGCUCCGGCCCGCGUCCAACAAGAAAACAUUACCGUCUUUGACCUCGGAUCAGGUAGGGAUACCCGCUGAACUUAAGC